Molecule: ribosomal RNA, 253 nt
Filed under: uncultured bacterium
Lineage: Bacteria
Description: partial 16S ribosomal RNA
Rfam family: Bacterial small subunit ribosomal RNA
Source: RNAcentral
UACGGGGGGGGCAAGCGUUGUUCGGAAUUACUGGGCGUAAAGGGUUCGUAGGUGGUCAACUAAGUCAGACGUGAAAUCCCUCAGCUUAACUGGGGAACUGCGUCUGAUACUGGUCGACUUGAGUGCAGGAGAGGAACGCGGAAUUCCAGGUGUAGCGGUGAAAUGCGUAGAUAUCUGGAGGAACACCGUUGGCGAAGGCGGCGUUCUGGACUGCAACUGACACUGAGGAACGAAAGCCAGGGGAGCAAACGGG